UUUAUUAUCAAAUAAAUGCAUUAUAUCUUGAUUGUUAAAUAAAUACAUCAAAUUUUGAUUAGAGUAAAUUUCUUAAAAGUUAUACUUUCAACUUUAAAAGUAAUGAGGCACCUGAUUAAUCAGCCCUCGACCCAAAAAAUUUAUACUUUUAACUUUAAAAGUAAUGAGGCACCUGGUUAAUCAGCCCUCGACCUGAAAAAGUUAUACUUUCAAGUUCAAAAGUAAUGAGGUACCUGAUUAAUCAGCCCUCGACCCGAAAAAGUUAUACUUUCAACUUCAAAAGUAAAGAGGCACCUGAUUAAUCAGCCCUCGACCCGAAAAAGUUAUACUUUUAACUUCAAAAGUAAAGAGGCACCUGAUUAAUCAGCCCUCGACCCGAAAAAAGUUAUACUUUCAACUUCAAAAGUGAUUGAGACACUUGACCCUGAAAUCCUCGAUAAUACACUUUAUCUUCAAAAGUGAUGGAAGAAAUAAAAGCUACAUGAAGUCAUGAUCCAAAGGUCAUGAUACAUCAAACUGAACUGGGGGCAUAACUAAAGCCUCCAAGUAGACAAUGGCAGUAUCUCAAGCCUUUCGAACUUCCGGCUAACAGUUCCUCAAGGUCUUGGGCAGAUGAAUCAAUUUCCCGAAGCUUGGCCUUCAAUCUAUCCAUGACGUCCUGAAGCUCCUGAGGCCCUUACAUAAAGAAAGUCAUUCUCAUGAGGACGUGAAGUGACCUCUGAACAAAGUGCAAUAACAUGAUAACUAAAAGUAAAGAGAUCCAGCUUAGCACGGAAGGGAGACAUGUCAAGGCCCAAGAAGGAUCGAGAAGUCAUCAACUUCACAACUAAACACCUCUAAGUCCUCUGCUCACAGAUAAUAGAGAGAGACUGUGCAUUUCGAGAAUAAGUCUCAGAAGAUAAUCUAGCAAGAAAAUCUGGAGAAGGGCCCUAUGAAGAUGUAUUCGAUCUAGUAUAUAGGGGAACCAAGCUAGGACACGACCAAGAUUCAAGUGAAAAGAAAAAGGAAAAAGAGAGUGAAGGAAGAGGCAGUCUUCUAGGGUUUGGCCCCUAGGGUUCGAACACCUACGGAGGCUCUCCCCUCUUACCUUUUACUUCUCGUUGAUCAAUGUUCCAGAAUGAAGUCGCUCAGGGUUCGAGUACCUAGAGGAAAGAUCCCCUUCAUCUCUUGUUCACCCCAAUUUGAAGUAUGUUCACUCGGUGCCUUCUCGAUGACUUCUUAAUUUUGAAAAUGAGAGAACUUCCAAAAGAAAAUAAUAUUCGGAAGGAUAAGAUAGAAGAUUUUUUUCCAAGAUAGCCAAGGAGAGCUUCUCUAGGGCUCGCCCCCUACAAGUCUCCCCUCCUAGGGAUUUUAUGUUCAAGGCUUGCACCAUCGUGCUCCGCGAAUCAUUAAGAAAUUUGUAGCAAGAUUUCAAUGCUGGAGAAAUUAUGCACGGUUGUCCCACCAAAGGUGUGACUCACGUGCAGGGGCAAACCCAAGUACGACCUACUGGUGGAGGGCAGAGACAUCCUCUAAAAUAGAGGUGGAUUCCCCCCAAGCAGUAAUGAAUGUGUAUGAAGAAGAGCACACAGCGGGAAGUCGGCCCAAUAUUGCCAUCCCUGAAGGCGGCCAGAUGAGUCAGACAGGAAGCAAAAGGGACUGAAAGGGUAUUCUUGUUUCUCUAUACACAUGCGGGGAAUGCGAUCGGAAGGGAGAAAGUCAUCCCAAACUCCACAAGCCGCUGCAUAUAGAACAAGCCUUCCUUCUUUGGCGAAGGAAAUGUUAUACGGUCAUAAGUCUAGACUUGCUCUGAAAAGAAGUUGGAAAGACCAAAGAGGGGAACCCUUUCCCAAUCACUGAGGA
This 1842-nucleotide long non-coding RNA is filed under the name Panax ginseng (ginseng). Its description in RNAcentral is "long non-coding RNA (PGIN_LNC005627)". Lineage: Eukaryota; Viridiplantae; Streptophyta; Magnoliopsida; Apiales; Araliaceae. The record is from RNAcentral.